RNAcentral lists this ribosomal RNA (460 nucleotides) under uncultured bacterium. RNAcentral's name for it is "partial 16S ribosomal RNA". It matches the Rfam family "Bacterial small subunit ribosomal RNA", at positions 338 to 795 of the family's 1533-position model. The record is from RNAcentral.
CCUACGGGAGGCAGCAGUGAGGAAUAUUGGUCAAUGGGCGCGAGCCUGAACCAGCCAAGUCGCGUGAGGGAUGACUGCCCUACGGGUUGUAAACUUCUUUUGUAAAGGAAUAAAGUGAGGCACGUGUGCCUUUUUGUAUGUACUUUAUGAAUAAGGAUCGGCUAACUCCGUGCCCGCAGCCGCGGUAAUACGGAGGAUCCGAGCGUUAUCCGGAUUUAUUGGGUUUAAAGGGAGCGUAGAUGGGUUGUUAAGUCAGUUGUGAAAGUUUGCGGCGCAACCGUAAAAUUGCAAUUGAUACUGGCAGUCUUGAGUACAGUUGAGGUAGGCGGAAUUCGUGGUGUAGCGGUGAAAUGCUUAGAUAUCACGAAGAACCCCGAUUGCGAAGGCAGCUUACUAAACUGUGACUGACAUUGAGGCUCGAAAGCGUGGGGAUCAAACAGGAUUAGAUACCCUAGUAGUC